CUUCUGCUGAGGAGUCCCACAAUAGGACGAAACGGUUGUCCAGUGC
Molecule: non-coding RNA, 46 nt
Filed under: Schistosoma margrebowiei
Lineage: Eukaryota; Metazoa; Platyhelminthes; Trematoda; Strigeidida; Schistosomatidae
Source: RNAcentral